GAUGAACGCUGGCGGCGUGCUUAACACAUGCAAGUCGAACGGAAAGGCCCAAGCUUGCUUGGGUACUCGAGUGGCGAACGGGUGAGUAACACGUGGGUGAUCUGCCCUGCACUUCGGGAUAAGCCUGGGAAACUGGGUCUAAUACCGGAUAGGACGAUGGUUUGGAUGCCAUUGUGGAAAGUUUUUUCGGUGUGGGAUGAGCUCGCGGCCUAUCAGCUUGUUGGUGGGGUAAUGGCCUACCAAGGCGUCGACGGGUAGCCGGCCUGAGAGGGUGUACGGCCACAUUGGGACUGAGAUACGGCCCAGACUCCUACGGGAGGCAGCAGUGGGGAAGAUUGCACAAUGGGCGCAAGCCUGAUGCAGCGACGCCGCGUGGGGGAUGACGGCCUUCGGGUUGUAAACUCCUUUCGCUAGGGACGAAGCGUUUUUGUGACGGUACCUGGAGAAGAAGCACCGGCUAACUACGU
This 467-nucleotide ribosomal RNA is filed under the name uncultured bacterium. RNAcentral describes it as "partial 16S ribosomal RNA". It matches the Rfam family "Bacterial small subunit ribosomal RNA", at positions 28 to 506 of the family's 1533-position model. The record is from RNAcentral.